This 257-nucleotide unclassified non-coding RNA is filed under the name Microcera sp. Its description in RNAcentral is "partial contains 5.8S ribosomal RNA, internal transcribed spacer 2, and large subunit ribosomal RNA". The stretch from base 1 to 52 matches the Rfam family "5.8S ribosomal RNA", at positions 103 to 154 of the family's 154-position model. The record is from RNAcentral. RNAcentral also lists the same sequence under 2 other names. Lineage: Eukaryota; Fungi; Ascomycota; Sordariomycetes; Hypocreales; Nectriaceae.
AACGCACAUUGCGCCCGCCAGUAUUCUGGCGGGCAUGCCUGUUCGAGCGUCAUUUCAACCCUCAAGCCCCCGGGCUUGGUGUUGGGGCUCGGCCCGUCCUCGUGGCGCGCCGUCCCCGAAAUCUAGUGGCGGUCUCGCGAUAGCCUCCUCUGCGUAGUAGCAAUAUCUCGCACCGGGACUGAGCAAGGCCACGCCGUUAAACCCCCCACUUCUGAAAGGUUGACCUCGGAUCAGGUAGGAAUACCCGCUGAACUUAA